Molecule: ribosomal RNA, 495 nt
Filed under: uncultured bacterium
Lineage: Bacteria
Description: partial 16S ribosomal RNA
Rfam family: Bacterial small subunit ribosomal RNA
Source: RNAcentral
AUGAACGCUGGCGGCGUGCCUAAUCCAUGCAAGUCGCGCGAACAGACGAGGAGCUUGCUCCUCUGACGUUAGCGGCGGACGGGUGAGUAACACGUGGAUAACCUACCUAUAAGACUGGGAUAACUUCGGGAAACCGGAGCUAAUACCGGAUAAUAUAUUGAACCGCAUGGUUCAAUAGUGAAAGACGGUUUUGCUGUCACUUAUAGAUGGAUCCGCGCCGCAUUAGCUAGUUGGUAAGGUAACGGCUUACCAAGGCAACGAUGCGUAGCCGACCUGAGAGGGUGAUCGGCCACACUGGAACUGAGACACGGUCCAGACUCCUACGGGAGGCAGCAGUAGGGAAUCUUCCGCAAUGGGCGAAAGCCUGACGGAGCAACGCCGCGUGAGUGAUGAAGGUCUUCGGAUCGUAAAACUCUGUUAUUAGGGAAGAACAAAUGUGUAAGUAACGAUGCACGUCUUGACGGUACCUAAUCAGAAAGCCACGGCUAACUACGU